UGGGGGAUAUUGCGCAAUGGAGGAAACUCUGACGCAGCAACGCCGCGUGAAGGAAGAAGGCCUUCGGGUUGUAAACUUUUGUCUUUGGGGAAGAUAAUGACGGUACCCAAGGAGGAAGCCACGGCUAACUACGUGCCAGCAGCCGCGGUAAUACGUAGGUGGCGAGCGUUGUCCGGAAUUACUGGGUGUAAAGGGUGCGUAGGCGGGUAGUCAAGUCAGAUGUGAAAUACCGAGGCUCAACUUCGGGGCUGCAUUUGAAACUGAUUAUCUUGAGUGAAGUAGAGGCAAGCGGAAUUCCCAGUGUAGCGGUGAAAUGCGUAGAUAUUGGGAGGAACACCAGUGGCGAAGGCGGCUUGCUGGGCUUUAACUGACGCUGAGGCACGAAAGCAUGGGGAGCAAA
Molecule: ribosomal RNA, 400 nt
Filed under: uncultured bacterium
Lineage: Bacteria
Description: bacterial SSU rRNA
Rfam family: Bacterial small subunit ribosomal RNA
Source: RNAcentral